This 1174-nucleotide ribosomal RNA is filed under the name Escherichia coli. RNAcentral describes it as "partial 23S ribosomal RNA". It matches the Rfam family "Bacterial large subunit ribosomal RNA", at positions 1771 to 2925 of the family's 2925-position model. The record is from RNAcentral. Lineage: Bacteria; Pseudomonadati; Pseudomonadota; Gammaproteobacteria; Enterobacterales; Enterobacteriaceae.
AAUCAGUCGAAGAUACCAGCUGGCUGCAACUGUUUAUUAAAAACACAGCACUGUGCAAACACGAAAGUGGACGUAUACGGUGUGACGCCUGCCCGGUGCCGGAAGGUUAAUUGAUGGGGUUAGCGGUAACGCGAAGCUCUUGAUCGAAGCCCCGGUAAACGGCGGCCGUAACUAUAACGGUCCUAAGGUAGCGAAAUUCCUUGUCGGGUAAGUUCCGACCUGCACGAAUGGCGUAAUGAUGGCCAGGCUGUCUCCACCCGAGACUCAGUGAAAUUGAACUCGCUGUGAAGAUGCAGUGUACCCGCGGCAAGACGGAAAGACCCCGUGAACCUUUACUAUAGCUUGACACUGAACAUUGAGCCUUGAUGUGUAGGAUAGGUGGGAGGCUUAGAAGUGUGGACGCCAGUCUGCAUGGAGCCGACCUUGAAAUACCACCCUUUAAUGUUUGAUGUUCUAACGUUGACCCGUAAUCCGGGUUGCGGACAGUGUCUGGUGGGUAGUUUGACUGGGGCGGUCUCCUCCUAAAGAGUAACGGAGGAGCACGAAGGUUGGCUAAUCCUGGUCGGACAUCAGGAGGUUAGUGCAAUGGCAUAAGCCAGCUUGACUGCGAGCGUGACGGCGCGAGCAGGUGCGAAAGCAGGUCAUAGUGAUCCGGUGGUUCUGAAUGGAAGGGCCAUCGCUCAACGGAUAAAAGGUACUCCGGGGAUAACAGGCUGAUACCGCCCAAGAGUUCAUAUCGACGGCGGUGUUUGGCACCUCGAUGUCGGCUCAUCACAUCCUGGGGCUGAAGUAGGUCCCAAGGGUAUGGCUGUUCGCCAUUUAAAGUGGUACGCGAGCUGGGUUUAGAACGUCGUGAGACAGUUCGGUCCCUAUCUGCCGUGGGCGCUGGAGAACUGAGGGGGGCUGCUCCUAGUACGAGAGGACCGGAGUGGACGCAUCACUGGUGUUCGGGUUGUCAUGCCAAUGGCACUGCCCGGUAGCUAAAUGCGGAAGAGAUAAGUGCUGAAAGCAUCUAAGCACGAAACUUGCCCCGAGAUGAGUUCUCCCUGACUCCUUGAGAGUCCUGAAGGAACGUUGAAGACGACGACGUUGAUAGGCCGGGUGUGUAAGCGCAGCGAUGCGUUGAGCUAACCGGUACUAAUGAACCGUGAGGCUUAACCUUACAACGCCGAAG